RNAcentral lists this ribosomal RNA (938 nucleotides) under Phylloporus sp. HKAS 74686. RNAcentral describes it as "eukaryotic LSU rRNA". It matches the Rfam family "Eukaryotic large subunit ribosomal RNA", at positions 34 to 965 of the family's 3401-position model. Lineage: Eukaryota; Fungi; Basidiomycota; Agaricomycetes; Boletales; Boletaceae. The record is from RNAcentral.
UUAAGCAUAUCAAUAAGCGGAGGAAAAGAAACUAACAAGGAUUCCCCUAGUAACUGCGAGUGAAGAGGGAAAAGCUCAAAUUUUGAAUCUGGCGGUCCUCGAGGCCGUCCGAGUUGUAAUCUAGAGAAGCGUCUUCCGUGCUGGACCGUGUACAAGUCUCCUGGAAGGGAGCGUCAUAGAGGGUGAGAAUCCCGUCUUUGACACGGACUGCCAGUGCUAUGUGAUGCGCUCUCGAAGAGUCGAGUUGUUUGGGAAUGCAGCUCAAAAUGGGUGGUAAAUUCCAUCUAAAGCUAAAUACAGGCGAGAGACCGAUAGCGAACAAGUACCGUGAGGGAAAGAUGAAAAGAACUUUGGAAAGAGAGUUAAACAGUACGUGAAAUUGCUGAAAGGGAAACGCUUGAUGUCAGUCACGUCCGCCAGGGAUCAACCUUGCUUUUUCGCUGGGUGCAUUUCUUGGUUGGACGGGUCAGCAUCGGUUUCGAUCGUCGUAGAAUGGUCGAGGGAACGUGGCACCUCUAGGGGUGUGUUAUAGCCCUUGGUCGUAUGCGUCAGUAGGGACCGAGGAACUCGGCACGACCUUCGCGGGUCGGUGUCUAGGAUGCUGGCAUAAUGGCCUUAAGCGACCCGUCUUGAAACACGGACCAAGGAGUCUAACAUGCCUGCGAGUGUUCGGGUGGAAAACUCGAGCGCACAACGAAAGUGAAAGUCGAGAUCUCUGUCGUGGAGAGCAUCGACGCCCGGACCAGAGUCUUUGACGAAGGAUCUGCGGUAGAGCAUGCAUGUUGGGACCCGAAAGAUGGUGAACUAUGCCUGAAUAGGGUGAAGCCAGAGGAAACUCUGGUGGAGGCUCGUAGCGAUUCUGACGUGCAAAUCGAUCGUCGAAUUUGGGUAUAGGGCGAAAGACUAAUCGAACCAUCUAGUAGCUGGUUCCUGCCGAA